Molecule: long non-coding RNA, 464 nt
Organism: Notothenia coriiceps (black rockcod)
Lineage: Eukaryota; Metazoa; Chordata; Actinopteri; Perciformes; Nototheniidae
Exons: 3
Source: RefSeq, a predicted model, not a curated record
UUGUUUUGCUUACAGACAUAUUGAAAAUGGAGCUGUGAUUUAUGCAAUCUUUACGCCAAGGGAAAACCUGAAACAGUUUCCUCAAACACCAAAGCGAGAGGUUGUUGAAACCCUUGGAAGCGAUAUUGUUCGAUGCCACAUCAUGCUCAAGGGAGAAUUUCAGGUGACGGUGAAGUUGGCAAGUGACACGAUAUCGAGUCUGAGACUCAAGCUGAGUAACAAAAGUGGAAUCCCAGAACAUGUCCUUCAUUACAAAGGUCCACAGGAUGGUGGUGACACUCUGGAGAGAUGUGGGAUCUCUGAAGGGUCAACCGUUAACUUCUCUUUGUCCUCAUUUCCUCACGAGACUUCAUACAACGAGACAUUUUUCAUUAAUGAUUUUUUGCCUUCAGUCCCACAAACUCAGAAAGGAAUCAGUGUGUUCUUGUCUUGACUUUAUGCUGUUGUAAGUAUCAAUGUAUAGA